GGGCCAUAGGUCAGUGGUAGGGCAUAUGCUUUGCAUGCCAAAGGUUCCAGGUUUAAUCCCUGGCAUCUCCG
RNAcentral lists this transfer RNA (71 nucleotides) under Podarcis lilfordi (Lilford's wall lizard). Its description in RNAcentral is "tRNA.Ala". The record is from RNAcentral. Lineage: Eukaryota; Metazoa; Chordata; Lepidosauria; Squamata; Lacertidae.